GGAUUAUGGCUCAGUGGUAGAGUGCUUGCCUAGCAUGCAUGAGGCACUGGGUUCAAUCCACAGCACCA
This 68-nucleotide transfer RNA is filed under the name Marmota monax (woodchuck). RNAcentral describes it as "tRNA.Ala". Lineage: Eukaryota; Metazoa; Chordata; Mammalia; Rodentia; Sciuridae. The record is from RNAcentral.